AACAGGAUUAGAUACCCUGGUAGUCCACGCCGUAAACGAUGUCGACUUGGAGGUUGUUCCCUUGAGGAGUGGCUUCCGGAGCUAACGCGUUAAGUCGACCGCCUGGGGAGUACGGCCGCAAGGUUAAAACUCAAAUGAAUUGACGGGGGCCCGCACAAGCGGUGGAGCAUGUGGUUUAAUUCGAUGCAACGCGAAGAACCUUACCUACUCUUGACAUCCACGGAAUUCGGCAGAGAUGCCUUAGUGCCUUCGGGAACCGUGAGACAGGUGCUGCAUGGCUGUCGUCAGCUCGUGUUGUGAAAUGUUGGGUUAAGUCCCGCAACGAGCGCAACCCUUAUCCUUUGUUGCCAGCGAUUCGGUCGGGAACUCAAAGGAGACUGCCGGUGAUAAACCGGAGGAAGGUGGGGAUGACGUCAAGUCAUCAUGGCCCUUACGAGUAGGGCUACACACGUGCUACAAUGGCGCAUACAAAGAGAAGCGACCUCGCGAGAGCAAGCGGACCUCAUAAAGUGCGUCGUAGUCCGGAUCGGAGUCUGCAACUCGACUCCGUGAAGUCGGAAUCGCUAGUAAUCGUGGAUCAGAAUGCCACGGUGAAUUACGUUCCCGGGCCUUGUACACACCGCCCGUCACACCAUGGGAGUGGGGUUGCAAAAGAAGUAGGUAGCUUAACCUUCGGGAGGGCGCUUACCACUUUGUGAUUCAUGACUGGGGUGAAAGUCGUAACAAGG
RNAcentral lists this ribosomal RNA (728 nucleotides) under uncultured bacterium. RNAcentral's name for it is "bacterial SSU rRNA". It matches the Rfam family "Bacterial small subunit ribosomal RNA", at positions 771 to 1496 of the family's 1533-position model. The record is from RNAcentral.